Molecule: non-coding RNA, 21 nt
Organism: Caenorhabditis elegans
Lineage: Eukaryota; Metazoa; Nematoda; Chromadorea; Rhabditida; Rhabditidae
Source: Ensembl
UAUUGAAUCCGUUACUAAUUU